GAUGAAGAACGCAGCGAAAUGCGAUAAGUAAUGUGAAUUGCAGAAUUCAGUGAAUCAUCGAAUCUUUGAACGCACAUUGCGCCCGCCAGUAUUCUGGCGGGCAUGCCUGUUCGAGCGUCAUUACAACCCUCAGGCCCCCGGGCCUGGCGUUGGGGAUCGGCGGAGCCCCCCGUGGGCACACGCCGUCCCCCAAAUACAGUGGCGGUCCCGCCGCAGCUUCCAUCGCGUAGUAGCUAACACCUCGCGACUGGAGAGCGGCGCGGCCACGCCGUAAAACACCCAACUCUUCUGAAGUUGACCUCGAAUCAGGUAGGAAUACCCGCUGAACUUAAGCAUAUCAUAGCGGAGGA
Molecule: unclassified non-coding RNA, 350 nt
Filed under: soil metagenome
Description: partial contains 5.8S ribosomal RNA, internal transcribed spacer 2, and large subunit ribosomal RNA
Rfam family: 5.8S ribosomal RNA (bases 1-120)
Source: RNAcentral